RNAcentral lists this transfer-messenger RNA (372 nucleotides) under bovine gut metagenome. It matches the Rfam family "transfer-messenger RNA". Rfam says of the family: Bacterial tmRNA, also known as 10Sa RNA or SsrA, is named for its dual tRNA and mRNA-like properties. The record is from RNAcentral.
GGGGGUGUACAGGUUUCGACAGGGUGAUUGAAAAACAGAUUAAGCGAGGUGUGAUUUUUAUCUUUUGUAUUCACAAUAAAUAAGCAAAAGUAAUUUUUUAAGUGCAAACUUAAAUUCUAAUGCUAACUCUGUAGCAGUUGCUGCUUAGUUUAGCCGUUUGAAUAAUUAAUUCUCCUUGUGGUUAUUAUUCAGGCGUCAGUUACAUGAGGAAUUUUGUUAAAAGGGUGUGCGGUUUAGCAAAAUUAUUAGCAUGCUGGUUUUAAACUUUUUGUUAGUUUUUAGUUUAAAAUAAGAUUUUAGAAUUAACUGUUCUCGAAGAAAGAUUUGUUUUUAUUAUUUUGGACGCGGGUUCAAUUCCCGCCACCUCCACCA